AACGAACGCUGGCGGCAUGCCUAACACAUGCAAGUCGAACGAAGGCUUCGGCCUUAGUGGCGCACGGGUGCGUAACGCGUGGGAAUCUGCCCUUUGGUUCGGAAUAACAGCUGGAAACGGCUGCUAAUACCGGAUGAUGACGAAAGUCCAAAGAUUUAUCGCCAGAGGAUGAGCCCGCGUUGGAUUAGGUAGUUGGUGGGGUAAAGGCCUACCAAGCCGACGAUCCAUAGCUGGUCUGAGAGGAUGAUCAGCCACACUGGGACUGAGACACGGCCCAGACUCCUACGGGAGGCAGCAGUGGGGAAUAUUGGACAAUGGGCGCAAGCCUGAUCCAGCAAGGCCGCGUGAGUGAUGAAGGCCCUAGGGUUGUAAAGCUCUUUUACCCGGGAAGAUAAUGACUGUACCGGGAGAAUAAGCCCCGGCUAACUCCGUG
Molecule: ribosomal RNA, 433 nt
Filed under: uncultured bacterium
Lineage: Bacteria
Description: partial 16S ribosomal RNA
Rfam family: Bacterial small subunit ribosomal RNA
Source: RNAcentral